RNAcentral lists this ribosomal RNA (2144 nucleotides) under Duthiersia fimbriata. RNAcentral's name for it is "SSU rRNA". It matches the Rfam family "Eukaryotic small subunit ribosomal RNA". Lineage: Eukaryota; Metazoa; Platyhelminthes; Cestoda; Diphyllobothriidea; Diphyllobothriidae. The record is from RNAcentral.
CAGUAGUCAUAUGCUUGUCUCAGAGAUUAAGCCAUGCAUGUCUAAGUGCACGCCUUCAUACGGUGAAACCGCGAAUGGCUCAUUAAAUCAGCUAUGGUUUAUUGGAUCAUACCCGUUAAAUGGAUAACUGUAAUAACUCUAGAGCUAAUACAUGCCUCGAAGCCCUGACCCGCGAGGGGAUGGGUGCACUUAUUAGAUCAGAAGCCAAUCAGGCGUUCGUCUGCUUUGCUCUCGCAGUAAGGUGGAUAGUGCCUGUUGCCAUUCUGGUGACUCUGGAUAAUUGUUACAGAUCGCAGUCGGCCUUGCGUCGGCGACGGGUCCUUCAAAUGUCUGCCCUAUCAACUUUCGAUGGUAGGUGACCUGCCUACCAUGGUGAUAACGGGUAACGGGGAAUCAGGGUUCGAUUCCGGAGAGGGAGCCUGAGAAACGGCUACCACUUCCAAGGGAGGCAGCAGGCGCGCAAAUUACCCACUCCCAGCACGGGGAGGUGGUGACGAAAAAUACCGAUGCGGGACUCUCAUUGAGGCUCCGUAAUCGGAAUGAGUGAACUCUAAAUCCUUUCACGAGGAUCAAUUGGAGGGCAAGUCUGGUGCCAGCAGCCGCGGUAACUCCAGCUCCAAUAGCGUAUAUUAAAGUUGCUGCAGUUAAAAAGCUCGUAGUUGGGUCUCGGUAUCACUGUCGCCUGCCAGUCCUCGGCCAAUUGUGACUGUGGGUGCAGGCGCGUGACCACCUCCUGUGUGUGUGUGGCCCCCCUGUGUCCCUGGCAUGGUUGUGCUCGAGUUGGCGUGGUGGUGGUGUCACCUUUCAGCCAUGUCUGUGGUGAAAUACCCACAGGUGUAGGCGAGUGUCAGGCGGUGCUCUGCGGCAGUAGGGUCCGUCGGCUCGUCUGCAUGCCUUUGGAUGCCCUUAAAAAGGUGUCUAGAGGCGGAUGGCACGUUUACUUUGAACAAAUUUGAGUGCUCAAACCAGGCCGCUGUUGCCUGAAAAGUUUUGCAUGGAAUAAUGGAAUAGGACUUCGGUUCUAUUUCGUUGGUUUUCGGAUCCGAAGUAAUGAUCAAAAGAGACAGGCGGGGACGUUUGUAUGGUUGCGCUAGAGGUGAAAUUCAUGGACCGUAACCAGACAAACUAAAGCGAAAGCAUUCGUCAAGCAUGUUUUCAUUGGCCAUGAGCGAAAGUCAGAGGCUCGAAGACGAUCAGAUACCGUCCUAGUUCUGACCAUAAACGAUGCCAACUGACGAUCCGUGGUGGUAGUAUUUAAACCAUCCCCACGGGCAGUCCCCGGGAAACCUUUAAGUCUUUGGGUUCCGGGGGAAGUAUGGUUGCAAAGCUGAAACUUAAAGGAAUUGACGGAAGGGCACCACCAGGAGUGGAGCCUGCGGCUUAAUUUGACUCAACACGGGAAAACUCACCCGGCCCGGACACUGUGAGGAUUGACAGAUUGAAAGCUCUUUCUUGAUUUGGUGGUUGGUGGUGCAUGGCCGUUCUUAGUUGGUGGAGCGAUUUGUCUGGUUAAUUCCGAUAACGAACGAGACUCUAGCCUGCUAAUUAGUACGCCUGUCCUCUGUUCCUGUGCAGGCGGCGUUCGUGCGCAACUGCUCGCAUAAGCUUCUUGCGGUUGCUGGGUGGUUGCGAGGUCUUCUGGCUACGCGACUGCUUUAGUGGCUGUAAAGGGGCGCGAGUGGUGUGCUGGGCGCUAGCUUCCGGGUACGGCGCAGGUGUGUCUACUUCUUAGAGGGACAAGCAUUACGAAUGUGCACGAAAUUGAGCAAUAACAGGUCUGUGAUGCCCUUAGAUGUCCGGGGCCGCACGCGCGCUACAAUGACGGUGCCAACGAGUCUGACCUUCUGGCCCGAAAGGGUUGGGCAAACUGGUUAAUCACCGUCAUGACAGGGAUCGGGGCUUGGAAUUGUUCCCCGUGAACGAGGAAUUCCUAGUAAGUGCAAGUCAUAAGCUUGCGCUGAUUACGUCCCUGCCCUUUGUACACACCGCCCGUCGCUACUACCGAUUGAAUGGUUUAGUAAGGUCCUUGGAUCGGCGCCGUUGUAGUGCUAGCCGCAAGGCUAGUGCUCGAGGGGUGCUGAGAAGACGACCAAACUUGAUCAUUUAGAGGAAGUAAAAGUCGUAACAAGGUUUCCGUAGGUGAA